RNAcentral lists this ribosomal RNA (253 nucleotides) under uncultured bacterium. RNAcentral's name for it is "partial 16S ribosomal RNA". It matches the Rfam family "Bacterial small subunit ribosomal RNA", at positions 524 to 776 of the family's 1533-position model. The record is from RNAcentral.
UACGUAGGGGGCAAGCGUUGUCCGGAUUUAUUGGGCGUAAAGCGCGUGUAGGCGGCCAGGUAGGUCCGCUGUGAAAACCCGAGGCUCAACCUCGGGACGUCGGCGGAAACCAUUUGGCUAGAGUCCGGAAGAGGAGAGUGGAAUUCCCGGUGUAGCGGUGAAAUGCGCAGAUAUCGGGAGGAACACCAAUGGCGAAGGCAGCUCGCUGGGACGUUACUGACGCUGAGACGCGAAAGCGUGGGGAGCAAACAGG